This 339-nucleotide RNase P RNA is filed under the name uncultured Acutalibacter sp. RNAcentral's name for it is "Bacterial RNase P class A". It matches the Rfam family "Bacterial RNase P class A". From Rfam's summary of the family: Ribonuclease P (RNase P) is a ubiquitous endoribonuclease, found in archaea, bacteria and eukarya as well as chloroplasts and mitochondria. Its best characterised activity is the generation of mature 5'-ends of tRNAs by cleaving the 5'-leader elements of precursor-tRNAs. Cellular RNase Ps are ribonucleoproteins. The record is from RNAcentral. Lineage: Bacteria; Bacillati; Bacillota; Clostridia; Eubacteriales; Acutalibacteraceae.
AGCAGGCUGGACGGCUGCGGACGGAGCGGGAAACUGCCCGUCUGAGGAAAGUCCGAGCUUCCCAGGGCAAGGAUAACGGCUAACCGCCGCCGGGGGCGACCCCAGGGAAAGUGCAACAGAGAGAUACCGCCGGGAAUUUUCCGGUAAGGGUGGAAAGGCGAGGUAAGAGCUCACCGGCGCGUGGGAGACCACGCGGCCCUGUAAACCCUAUCCGAAGCAACACCGUGGAGGAACAGAUAGCGUGGCCCGCGCGUUCCGAGGAGGUGGCGUGAGCCGGAUGGCAACGUCCGGCCAAGAUAGAUGGCUGUCCACGACAGAACUCGGCUUAUAGGCCUGGUC